GACGGAGGGGGCUAGCGUUGUUCGGAAUGACUGGGCGUAAAGGGCGCGUAGGCGGUAUUUUAAGUGAGGCGUGAAAGCCCCGGGCUUAACCCGGGAGGUGCGUUUCAUACUGGAAUGCUAGAGUGCGAGAGAGGAAAGUGGAAUUCCUAGUGUAGAGGUGAAAUUCGUAGAUAUUAGGAAGAACACCAGAGGCGAAGGCGGCUUUCUGGCUCGUAACUGACGCUGAGGCGCGAAAGCGUGGGGAGCAAACAGG
This 253-nucleotide ribosomal RNA is filed under the name uncultured bacterium. Its description in RNAcentral is "partial 16S ribosomal RNA". It matches the Rfam family "Bacterial small subunit ribosomal RNA", at positions 524 to 776 of the family's 1533-position model. The record is from RNAcentral.